GACACUGCCAUGCCAAUUGACGUCAUGGACACCAACGCUCCAAAUGCCGUACAGGACCUUAGAACAUGCACCAUUCAGCACGAGCUACCAGACAGCCCACCACAGCUUGAAACACUGGACAGCUCACAGAAC
Ornithodoros turicata is the source of this 132-nucleotide long non-coding RNA. RefSeq lists it as uncharacterized. The record is from RefSeq and is a predicted model, not a curated record. The transcript has 3 exons. NCBI's taxonomy places the organism in Eukaryota, Metazoa, Arthropoda, Arachnida, Ixodida, Argasidae.